UGAGGAAUAUUGGUCAAUGGGCGAGAGCCUGAACCAGCCAAGUAGCGUGAAGGAUGACUGCCCUAUGGGUUGUAAACUUCUUUUAUAUGGGAAUAAAAUGUUCCACGUGUGGGAUUUUGUAUGUACCAUAUGAAUAAGGAUCGGCUAACUCCGUGCCAGCAGCCGCGGUAAUACGGAGGAUCCGAGCGUUAUCCGGAUUUAUUGGGUUUAAAGGGUGCGUAGGCGGAUUUUUAAGUCAGCGGUAAAAUGUCCGGGCUCAACCCGGGCCGGCCGUUGAAACUGGGGAUCUUGAGUGGGCGAGAAGUAUGCGGAAUGCGUGCUGUAGCGGUGAAAUGCUUAGAUAUCACGAAGAACUCCGAUUGCGAAGGCAGCUCACUGGACUGCAACUGACACUGAUGCUCGAAAGUGUGGGUAUCAAACAGG
Molecule: ribosomal RNA, 423 nt
Filed under: uncultured bacterium
Lineage: Bacteria
Description: bacterial SSU rRNA
Rfam family: Bacterial small subunit ribosomal RNA
Source: RNAcentral